AUACGUAGGGGGCGAGCGUUGUCCGGAAUGAUUGGGCGAAAAGGGCGCGUAGGCGGCCAGGUAAGUCUGGAGUGAAAGUCCUGUUUUUAAGAUGGGAAUUGCUUUGGAUACUGUCGGGCUUGAGUGCAGGAGAGGUAAGUGGAAUUCCCAGGUGAGCGGUGAAAUGCGUAGAGAUUGGGAGGAACACCAGUGGCGAAGGCGACUUACUGGACUGUAACUGACGCUGAGGCGCGAAAGUGUGGGGAGCAAACAGGAUUAGAUACCCUGGUAGUCCACACUGUAAACGAUGAAUGCUAGGUGUAGGGGGUAUCGACCCCUUCUGUGCCGCAGUCAACACAAUAAGCAUUCCGCCUGGGGAGUACGAUCGCAAGAUUGAAACUCAAAGGAAUUGACGGGG
RNAcentral lists this ribosomal RNA (397 nucleotides) under uncultured bacterium. Its description in RNAcentral is "partial 16S ribosomal RNA". It matches the Rfam family "Bacterial small subunit ribosomal RNA", at positions 523 to 918 of the family's 1533-position model. The record is from RNAcentral.